Pristis pectinata (smalltooth sawfish) is the source of this 601-nucleotide long non-coding RNA. RefSeq lists it as uncharacterized. Lineage: Eukaryota; Metazoa; Chordata; Chondrichthyes; Rhinopristiformes; Pristidae. The transcript is spliced from 3 exons. The record is from RefSeq and is a predicted model, not a curated record.
UUUCAACCAACACCAUCUUAUUGUAUUGGUAUCGGUCUAUUAUUGUCACAUGUACUGAGACAGAGUAAAAAGCUUUUGUUUGCAUGUCGUCAAGACAGAUCAUUCUACACACAAGUACAUCAAGUAAUUUGGAUACUUAAAGGUUUCAUCCUGUGUACAGAAGUUGGAACCUGGAAUAAUGCAAUGAUGCAGAACUUGCAGAUGCAAGAGAGACUGCAGAUGCUGGAAAUCUGGAGCAACACACACAAAAUGCUGGAGGAACUCAAAUGGUCAGGCCACAUCUGUGGAGGGAAAUGAACAGUCGACAUUUUGAGCUGAGACUCUUCAACAGGACUCUGAACAUGUGUGGAACAUGAGAUGUGAGCUUUUCAGUUCAUACACCAACCAUAGGAAAAUGUUUUUCAGAGCAAUGUUGACAUUGUACAGGCACAGACCUUGCACCUUAUUGCACUGCACUUUCUCUGUAGCUGUGACACUUUACUCUGUACUGUUACUGUUUUUACCUGUACUACAUCAAUGCACUCUGUACUAACUCAAUGUAACUGCACUGUGUAAUGAAUUGACCUGUACGAUUGGUUUGUAAGACAAGCUUUUCACUGUA